UGACUUAACUUAUCGUCUUAUUUGGCUCUUGCUUAAGAGCAAUGUAAUUCCAAUUUAACAAACGUGCGGGGAUAUAUAGGUCUUUUAUUUGGAGUCAGACACAUUGGCCCAAAAGGGGGACACAGAGGAGGAAAUCCCCAACUUGUGCAUCUGCUCUUUUUACCUGAAACAUUGCAUUUCAUCAGAGUGUAAUCAUACCUUUUGAUGUUAACGUUCCCUAUAUUAGUCCUGUUCUGGGAGAA
Molecule: long non-coding RNA, 242 nt
Organism: Sander lucioperca (pikeperch)
Lineage: Eukaryota; Metazoa; Chordata; Actinopteri; Perciformes; Percidae
Exons: 2
Source: RefSeq, a predicted model, not a curated record